Astatotilapia calliptera (eastern happy) is the source of this 303-nucleotide long non-coding RNA. NCBI's taxonomy places the organism in Eukaryota, Metazoa, Chordata, Actinopteri, Cichliformes, Cichlidae. The record is from Ensembl.
AAAGAAAGUCAGAACUUUUUCAGAGUGAGUUCGUCGAAUGGCAACCAUCUCCUAAACGACAAUACAACUCUGCAGCAGGAUCACAGUCAGAAACAGAAAUACUGUCUGAUGUCAAAGACAUAAUGAGACGUGUCAGUGAAAGACUACAUGGCCGUGACAAGCUCAGCGCUUUCCUAAAGACUACCCCCGGACCACCAACGUUUGAGCCUCCUCCUGCCUUUCCUGCUCGCCUUCACCAGCCUCGUUCACAGGAUGGACCUUCCUCUGCCUGUUCUCUCCCUCCCAGGUUCAGUCGUGCGGGUC